This 203-nucleotide long non-coding RNA is filed under the name Crocodylus porosus (Australian saltwater crocodile). Its description in RNAcentral is "lncRNA (ENSCPRG00005005713.1)". Lineage: Eukaryota; Metazoa; Chordata; Crocodylia; Crocodylidae. The record is from RNAcentral.
AUUGUGUUGAGAUGAGACCUUGGGUAGAGAGACAAUAGAAGAGAAACUUUGGACCUGGAUGGCCUGCACUCUGGUCUCUACAGAGGAAUACUGAAGAUCAGUGGAUGAUUUAGAAAUGACUGCUUUAGGAAGAAUGAUGAGAAGAAAUGCAUCUUGAGCAAAAGCUUGCAUUCUACCAACUUUGACCAAAAGCUAUAAAGCUG